Molecule: ribosomal RNA, 479 nt
Filed under: uncultured bacterium
Lineage: Bacteria
Description: partial 16S ribosomal RNA
Rfam family: Bacterial small subunit ribosomal RNA
Source: RNAcentral
GAUGAACGCUGACAGAAUGCUUAACACAUGCAAGUCGAUGAGAAGACUCCCUUCGGGGAGAGGGUAUCAUGGCGGACGGGUGAGUAACGGGUAAAGAACUUGCCGUAGGCACAGGGAUAACCGAUGGAACGGACGGAUAAGAUCUGAUAUAAUGGAAUUGUGGCAUCACGAUUUUAUGAAAAGCAAAACCAUACGAGAGCUUUGCGUCCUAUUAGCUAGUUGUUAGUGUAAUGGACUACCAAGGCGAUGAUAGGUAGCCGGCCUGGGAGGGUGGACGGCCACAAGGGGACUGAGAUACGGCCCUUACUCUUACGGGAGGCAGCAGUGGGGAAUAUUGGACAAUGGAGGUAACUCUGAUCCAGCAAUUCUGUGUGCACGAAGAAGGUUUUCGGAUUGUAAAGUGCUUUAAGUUGGGAAGAAGAAAAUGACGGUACCAACAGAAUAAGCGACGGCUAAAUACGUGCCAGCAGCCGCCGUAA